RNAcentral lists this ribosomal RNA (433 nucleotides) under uncultured bacterium. RNAcentral describes it as "partial 16S ribosomal RNA". It matches the Rfam family "Bacterial small subunit ribosomal RNA", at positions 29 to 507 of the family's 1533-position model. The record is from RNAcentral.
AACGAACGCUGGCGGCAUGCCUAACACAUGCAAGUCGAACGAGACCUUCGGGUCUAGUGGCGCACGGGUGCGUAACGCGUGGGAACCUGCCCUUAGGCUCGGAAUAACUCCCCGAAAGGGGUGCUAAUACCGGAUAAUGUCUUCGGACCAAAGAUUUAUCGCCUUUGGAUGGGCCCGCGUUGGAUUAGCUAGUUGGUAGGGGAAAAGGCUACCAAGGCGACGAUCCAUAGCUGGUCUGAGAGGAUGAUCAGCCACACUGGGACUGAGACACGGCCCAGACUCCUACGGGAGGCAGCAGUGGGGAAUAUUGGACAAUGGACGAAAGCCUGAUCCAGCAAUGCCGCGUGAUUGAUGAAGGCCUUAGGGUUGUAAAGCUCUUUUAACCGGGAUGAUAAUGACAGUACCGGAAGAAUAAGCUCCGGCUAACUCCGUG